Molecule: long non-coding RNA, 1263 nt
Filed under: Canis lupus dingo (dingo)
Lineage: Eukaryota; Metazoa; Chordata; Mammalia; Carnivora; Canidae
Description: lncRNA (ENSCAFG00020011634.1)
Source: RNAcentral
AUGCCCAUGCCAUUGUUUACAACACAUACUGGGAAUGAGCCACGCUGUUACUCAGUGUACCUAUUUAGGGCCCAGAAUCUGAAAACCAAUGAUUUCACAAAACUUCUUGUAACCCUAACAAGACCAGUUAUCAGAAGACACCUUAUCAGCCAAGUAAUGCAGACAGGUUCAACCAAGUACUCUGGAGUGUGGCGGCCAACAUCCGUAGGUUCCUAUUCCAGGACCCUACCUUAUCCAAGGCUCAAUCUUUCUAUGGAAAAGAAAGCGCUCUCCCUUUUACGACCGCUUUGCAGCCUGCUCGCGGGCGGUGACGAGGUGCAAGGAGGGCAGGCCCGCGGUCACAAUGUUUGGGCGGGGAGCCGCGUCCCAGGUGAUCUCGCCUCACUCCAGCCGAGAUCCGCUGCAAACCCCGCCCCUGCCCUGGCGUCCUCCAGCCCCCGUUCCUCGCCUCGCGCUGGCCGAUUUCGGAUGACCAAAAGCCCCACUGCCCCAACAGCGUCGGGGCCACGGCACUUCCGCCCGCGUCCGGCGGAACUACAAGCCCCGGCAGCCCCCGCGCAAGGCCCGCCCCCUCCCACCUCCGCCCAAAACGAGUCCCAGAACCCUCCGCGAGACGCCAGGCCUCGAAAUAGAACAAAACCGGCUGAUGGGGGAGGGGGGACGGCGAGGGUCGCGAAGGACACAGGGGAAGGAGGACUGUGCGCUGGUGCUGGAAGCCCGAUCUGGCCUUCGCUCUACCCCUAUCUGCCCCCCGCCUGCUGGACGCGGAGACCGCGGCCCGUCCUCCGCGCCCCCGGGAAGCGCAGGAAGGUGCCCGCCAGGCUUCCUCGCGGACUCCUGCCAAGAGGUCCGCAGCCUCUUAGCCCGGCGUCCCCCUCACGCCCUUCCCCUCAUUCUCGCGCAAACCUCCGGCUCAGGAUCCGCAGCAGCUUCGCUGUCCAAAGCAGACGCAGAAACGCCGCUCACAAGCCGUUUCCCAGAAGCCCCCGGCGCGGACUGCUUCCGGUCUGCGGGUCCCAGGAGGCGGAGGGAGGCGAAGCCCCGCGUUGCCAUGGAGAUGCGCUCCGGGCGGGGGAGGGGCGGCGCGACGACAAAGAUCGCUUUGAGGCUGCGCUUGGCCUCGGGCCUCUCUGCUCCGAGCGCCCAGGGUUCUGUGUUCCGCCUCCGAGACGGGGGAGAGAAAGAAUUCUGCCAUUAAGACAGUCUUUACGGCUCCACGAGCCGUCUCACGCGAAGCUCUCAGUAACCCUCUGGAAGGAGUGA